GAUGAACGCUAGCGGCAGGCCUAAUACAUGCAAGUCGAACGAGAUUAAGAGGCUUGCUUCUUAUGAAAGUGGCGCACGGGUGCGUAACGCGUAUGCAACCUACCUUAAUCAGGGGGAUAGCCCGAAGAAAUUCGGAUUAAGACCGCAUAAAAACACAGGAUAGCAUUAUCCAAUGUUCAAAUAUUUAUAUGAUUAAGAUGGGCAUGCGUGUCAUUAGCUAGUUGGCGGGGUAACGGCCCACCAAGGCGACGAUGACUAGGGGAUCUGAGAGGAUGACCCCCCACACUGGUACUGAGACACGGACCAGACUCCUACGGGAGGCAGCAGUAAGGAAUAUUAGUCAAUGGAGGGAACUCUGAACCAGCCAUGCCGCGUGCAGGAAGACAGCCCUCUGGGUCGUAAACUGCUUUUAUUCGGGAAUAAACCUUUCUACGUGUAGGAAGCUGAAUGUACCGAAGGAAUAAGGAUCGGCUAACUCCGUG
RNAcentral lists this ribosomal RNA (482 nucleotides) under uncultured bacterium. RNAcentral describes it as "partial 16S ribosomal RNA". It matches the Rfam family "Bacterial small subunit ribosomal RNA", at positions 28 to 507 of the family's 1533-position model. The record is from RNAcentral.